Non-coding RNA from Salmo salar (Atlantic salmon), 68 nucleotides. Lineage: Eukaryota; Metazoa; Chordata; Actinopteri; Salmoniformes; Salmonidae. The record is from Rfam.
ACAGCAACCCUAACAAAAGCAUUGACUGGUUUUGUCUGCAGUAAGUGCUUUUUGUUGGGGUAGCUGUU